UAGAGUUUGAUCCUGGCUCAGGACGAACGCUGGCGGCGUGCUUAACACAUGCAAGUCGAGCGGAGAGGCCCUUCGGGGUACUCGAGCGGCGAACGGGUGAGUAACACGUGAGUAACCUGCCCCCGACUCUGGGAUAAGCCCGGGAAACUGGGUCUAAUACCGGAUACGACCACUUCCCGCAUGGGAUGGUGGUGGAAAGUUUUUCGGUUGGGGAUGGACCUGCGGCGCAUUAGCUAGUUGGUGAGGUAACGGCCUACCAAGGCGACGACGGGUAGCCGGCCUGAGAGGGCGACCGGCCACACUGGGACUGAGACACGGCCCAGACUCCUACGGGAGGCAGCAGUGGGGAAUAUUGCGCAAUGGGCGAAAGCCUGACGCAGCGACGCCGCGUGGGGGAUGACGGCCUUCGGGUUGUAAACCUCUUUCAGCAGGGACGAAGUUGACGUGUACCUGCAGAAGAAGCGCCGGCUAACUACGUGCCAGCAGCCGCGGUAAUACGUAGGGCGCAAGCGUUGUCCGGAAUUAUUGGGCGUAAAGAGCUCGUAGGUGGCUUGUCACGUCGGGUGUGAAAGCUUGGGGCUUAACUCCAGGUCUGCAUUCGAUACGGGCUGGCUAGAGGUAGGUAGGGGAGAACG
This 635-nucleotide ribosomal RNA is filed under the name uncultured Streptosporangium sp. RNAcentral's name for it is "bacterial SSU rRNA". It matches the Rfam family "Bacterial small subunit ribosomal RNA", at positions 1 to 663 of the family's 1533-position model. Lineage: Bacteria; Bacillati; Actinomycetota; Actinomycetes; Streptosporangiales; Streptosporangiaceae. The record is from RNAcentral.